This 778-nucleotide ribosomal RNA is filed under the name uncultured Neocallimastigales. RNAcentral describes it as "partial large subunit ribosomal RNA". It matches the Rfam family "Eukaryotic large subunit ribosomal RNA", at positions 20 to 635 of the family's 3401-position model. The record is from RNAcentral. Lineage: Eukaryota; Fungi; Neocallimastigomycota; Neocallimastigomycetes; Neocallimastigales.
ACUAGAGUAGCACUCGCAUAUCAAUAAGCGGAGGAAAAGAAACUAACAUAGGAUUCCCUUAGUAACGGCGAGUGAAGCGGGAAGAGCUCAAAUUUGAAAUCUUCAAGGUUCUACCUUGACGAAUUGUAGUUUAAAGAAGUGUUUUCUGUUGGAGUUUUGGUAAAAGUUCUUUGGAAUAGGACAUCAUAGAGGGUGAGAAUCCCGUAUUUGACCAUUAUUCUUCCAGCUGUGUGAUACACUUUCAAAGAGUCGGAUUGUUUGGGAAUGCAGUCCAAAAUGGGUGGUAAAUUUCAUCCUAAAGCUAAAUAUUGGCGAGAGACCGAUAGCGAACAAGUACCGUGAGGGAAAGAUGAAAAGAACUUUGAAAAGAGAGUUAAACAGUACGUGAAAUUGUCAAAAGGGAAGCGUUUGACACCAGUGUUGUUUUCUCGAAAAUCAAUUAAAAAUGGCCUGGAUUUUGUGCUGUAUUGACUUUAUCAGCUUUCUGCACUUUUUUCUUGUCUUUUUUAAUGCACUUUUCGUUUAACAAGUCAACAUCAAUUUCUUUUGUUGUAAAAGAGUCAUUGGAAGGUGGCUUUCAUUUCGGUGAAAGUGUUUAUAGCCUUUGACUUCUGCAAUCGGAGAGAUUGAGGUCUGCAGCGUAGAUCCUUCGGGGUUAGAUACAUUUGUGCUAAGUUAUAGUUUUUCAUAGACAACAUGUUGACUAUGAUUAAUCAUGUAGCUUACUCGCUUAUGCUAUUUUACCUACGCUUAGGAUGUUGAAGAUGUAGCACAUCAU